RNAcentral lists this transfer RNA (93 nucleotides) under Naumovozyma dairenensis CBS 421. It matches the Rfam family "tRNA". Rfam says of the family: Transfer RNA (tRNA) molecules are approximately 80 nucleotides in length. The record is from Rfam by way of RNAcentral. Lineage: Eukaryota; Fungi; Ascomycota; Saccharomycetes; Saccharomycetales; Saccharomycetaceae.
GCGGAUUUAGCUCAGUUGGGAGAGCGCCAGACUGAAGAUAAACUUCAGUCACUAGAAAUCUGGAGGUCGUGUGUUCGAUCCACACAAUUCGCA